GACGAACGCUGGCGGCGUGCCUAACACAUGCAAGUCGAGCGGGGUCCAUCCGGUAGCAAUACCGGGGAAGACCUAGCGGCGAACGGGUGAGUAACACGUGAGAAACCUGCCCCGAAGUCUGGGAUAACCCGAGGAAACUCGAGCUAAUACCGGAUGUCUUCUUCUGAUCGCAUGGUCGGAUGAAGAAAGAUUUAUCGCUUCGGGAGGGUCUCGCGGCCUAUCAGCUAGUUGGCGGGGUAACGGCCCACCAAGGCGUCGACGGGUAGCUGGUCUGAGAGGACGAUCAGCCACACUGGGACUGAGACACGGCCCAGACUCCUACGGGAGGCAGCAGUGGGGAAUAUUGCGCAAUGGGCGAAAGCCUGACGCAGCAACGCCGCGUGCGGGAUGAAGGCCUUCGGUUGUAAACCGCUUUCAGUGGGGACGAAUUCAGACGGUACCCACAGAAGAAGCCCGGCCAACUACGUGCCAGCAGCCGCGGUAA
This 484-nucleotide ribosomal RNA is filed under the name uncultured bacterium. RNAcentral describes it as "bacterial SSU rRNA". It matches the Rfam family "Bacterial small subunit ribosomal RNA", at positions 28 to 523 of the family's 1533-position model. The record is from RNAcentral.